UGUUACAUAUCAAGGAAAAUGACUUAAAUAUCAAGCAUCAAACUUAAUCAAAUUCUAUGACAGAUACAUACUGGGAGAAUAUGCCACUGGAAUUGUGGCUUCAGUACUGUGCCCUCUGUCUGUGAUCUAGUGCUGAAAGGAGGAGACAGGAUGUGAGUGAAGUGGUGAAUGAUGAGCAUGCUUGUUGGAGUGUUUAUGGAAGACGCUGAGCUUUCAUCUCUGCUAUGCUCAAAGGCACAAGAUUAUCCAAAGACUGCUAGCAGCACAAAACCUAUUUGUUCCUAGAGGAGAGAGGCUCUCUUGUGCGUACAGAAGAGUCUAAUGUAAGGUGUGACUGAAUGUGUGAGUGUGGGUGUGCAUGGUGCCCUAAGAUGGACUGGCAUCCCAUCCAGCGUGUAUUGCUGCCUCAUGCCCAUUGGUCCCGGGAUAGGCUAUGGCUUCUCCAUGAAACUGACCAGGAUAAAAUGUUUACUGAAAAUUAUGACUGUGAUUCUUUGAAUAAGCACCAAUAAAGCAACUCGGCACUUAUGUUCAACCACCUCAGCCCCUCGUGUUUUACAUGGAGCAAAAGCAAGACCAAAAUGCAUAGGAAGUACACAGACAGCUGUUUAAACGUUUCCCUGCAUGGAGAGGCGUUUGGAUCAUUUUUCAGAAGCGAUAAAACCCGGUGGGUCAGCAUCUGAAGAAAACCUGGUUUUGCCUUACAGAUGUAUGUGUGUGGCCAUCUGUGCUGAUGUCUGAGAGUGGGAGUACACAGAAGUAUAGCAUAUGGAAGCACCAAAGACUGAAAAGUAACUAUGGGAAAACACAUGACAGGCUUUUUAGUUUUUGCCAAGCUGUCAAUCUGUAAUGGAGUUCACAAUUAUUUAAAGUUAUUUUAUUAUUCUUCAGUGAUACAAGUUAAGACUGCUUCUUAUUUACUGAAAGUAGGGACAAACAAUGCAACAAUGCAUAGAGCACUAUAGUAAUUGAUUUGUAUUUUAUUGUAUUUUAUUUUUUUAUCAGAUGUUAGUUGUUAAGUGGUUAUGGAUUGUAGGAGCUAUGCACAAGACUGUUUCUUUAAUCCCAUGCCAGUCUAUUCCCAUAGAAACUCUGACUACACCGUAGUGCAUAUUCUUGACCACUCUUGUGCACUCCUGCUGUUAUUUCUGUUUGUACAUGCCUGCAAUAUUUUUGAACUCAGUUGGUCUCCCAAAUAUAAACAGAUCUGUAGUUUAAAUAUUAAAAUUGAAGGAACUGAAGAAACAGCUUUCUCUCUGGCUGUUACAAUCAGAACUGAGAAUAUUAUAAAUCUAAUUUUCUAAGAUAUUGUAUUAUUAUAGGUCUAGAUUCAUAAUAUAUAUUCUCAGUAUAUAACUUUGUGGCCAUAUUGUUCAUUUUGAGAGUUUAGAGAUGUAUUCUCAUUAUAAAAAGACCUAAACCUAACAAACCCUAUGCCAUU
Molecule: long non-coding RNA, 1441 nt
Organism: Pangasianodon hypophthalmus (striped catfish)
Lineage: Eukaryota; Metazoa; Chordata; Actinopteri; Siluriformes; Pangasiidae
Exons: 5
Source: RefSeq, a predicted model, not a curated record